UGAUUAUACUUGACUCUUACUUCUUCAGGGAUGGGGAAUGGAUCGACUCAGAGCUAUCUGCCUACAGGUAUUUGUUGAUAGUAGUUAAGUGCAUAUGGUAGGGUGGGGACCACAAGAGAGAGCCUGAGUUGUUCAAAUAAUGUUUAUUGAGCUGUUGCUUUUUGCAAACCACUGUAUUCUACAGAAGUUUACAUUCAAGUGGGGAACAAAGGAGAUACGUAGUUAUAUAGAGAUAUAUAAGCUUUUUGACUUUCCGACAAGAAAAAAAAUCCUUCAGUAACCCGCUGAUUAAUUGUGCAGAAAUCUGCUGGGUUUAUAGGUUAUAGGUUUAUUAAAUUGCAGUGAGAAAUUGUAUAUUUGGAAUAUUUGGAACCUGACUUGUUUCAGCACAAAAGUGGGCUCUGUCUGCAUGCCCUUCCUGGUGUUGCUGUGAUGGAAGGAUUACCAUGUCUUUUGACCCCAGGGCCAAUGCACUGCCUCAUCCAUCGUGAGGCCCCUGGGAGAGCCUUGCUGUAGCUCCUCAGAUGGUUCUGAUUGGCAACCACCUGUGGGUGAGCCGGGCCCAGCCCCACACACCACACCUUGCUGUGACACCUGGAGACCAUUGAGGUGUAGAACAGCCUGGAAGGAGGAGGUUCCAGCUUCACAGUGUGGAUGCCGACCGCAAUUUAGGGAACACAGGCCCUUCUCUCUCCUGGAAAGACCAGGGUCAUCUGGCCAGAACUCCACCAGUGAACUCCAGUCUCCAAAGCAAGGCUCUUGGGGUCUUAUUCACUUCAUUAAUAUUUAAUCGAAGAAUCAUACUGAGCUAUUUCCAGACUCUGAGUGGAGGGAACAUGGUACUGCCUUCCCAGUGGAAUUCUGAUUAAUGCACCAUCUCUGUGGUCCCUGAGGAUCACCAACUUCCUCAUCCCCCAACUAUACAUAUUUAUUCUGUGGAGAGGGAGGCAGAAAGUUGGAGAAAGUGGCCUUUCAGAGACGGACUCAGUGAGCAUGACCCAAUUAAUAACAGUAAGACAGAGGCAGCUGGGAAGGUGCAUGGUGUAGGCUCUUCCUGCACCCGGGCACUGGACAGACACUGGAGGACAGAUAUGUGCCGGCUGAGAUCUCAUCCAGUAGGAACUGAAGAUGAUCAUGUCCUCUCUAGUUUUCUGGAGUGUAAAAAUCAGACACUGUGUGAUUCUUCAGAUGAAAAAGAAAACUGCUCUUACGCUAACAAGGAGGUUGGAAUAUGUGUCUUGCGCCUUAGAAAGCAUGGAAAGCAAAUAGUCAUGAAGAAAUAGAAAAUUAGGAAGACAAAUCAAUCAACUCCCUUGUCUCAUUAAAAAAUAAAGUCAGUCUUCCUUUCUCUUUUUGUGACACAUUUACUGAAAGUUUAGACAAAAGUUUAUCAAGGAAUAAUGAGAGGACAUUUUCUCUUUAGUUCCAACAGAUCAAAGAAUAUACAUUAUGAAAACAAAAGAAGUCUGGUUCUGUCUGAGUUGGGGUGAAAAGCUUAAAGGACCUGAAGAGGCAUUUAUACUGUGUGUAUGAGAUACAGAAAGGGUACGUGGGGACAGGUCAUUAAAUUUUACUGUAGAUUGUGAAGUCUUCCCUACCUGCUUUGCAGAUUUCGGUGAAGUCUUAAGU
Bos taurus (domestic cattle) is the source of this 1629-nucleotide long non-coding RNA. The record is from Ensembl. Lineage: Eukaryota; Metazoa; Chordata; Mammalia; Artiodactyla; Bovidae.